AUGUAAAAUGACUCUCGGCAACGGAUAUCUCGGCUCUUGCAUCGAUGAAGAACGUAGCGAAAUGCGAUACUUGGUGUGAAUUGCAGAAUCCCGUGAACCAUCGAGUCUUUGAACGCAAGUUGCGCCCAAAGCCAUUAGGCCGAGGGCACGCCUGCCUGGGUGUCACAC
Molecule: ribosomal RNA, 168 nt
Filed under: Phaseolus costaricensis
Lineage: Eukaryota; Viridiplantae; Streptophyta; Magnoliopsida; Fabales; Fabaceae
Also listed under: 2 other names
Description: 5.8S ribosomal RNA
Rfam family: 5.8S ribosomal RNA
About the family: 5.8S ribosomal RNA (5.8S rRNA) is a component of the large subunit of the eukaryotic ribosome. It is transcribed by RNA polymerase I as part of the 45S precursor that also contains 18S and 28S rRNA. Functionally, it is thought that 5.8S rRNA may be involved in ribosome translocation.
Source: RNAcentral